This 630-nucleotide ribosomal RNA is filed under the name marine bacterium enrichment culture clone K18-F9-S3. RNAcentral describes it as "bacterial SSU rRNA". It matches the Rfam family "Bacterial small subunit ribosomal RNA", at positions 803 to 1433 of the family's 1533-position model. The record is from RNAcentral.
UAAACGAUGUCUACUAGCCGUUGGGACUCUUGAAGUCUUAGUGGCGCAGCUAACGCACUAAGUAGACCGCCUGGGGAGUACGGCCGCAAGGUUAAAACUCAAAUGAAUUGACGGGGGCCCGCACAAGCGGUGGAGCAUGUGGUUUAAUUCGACGCAACGCGAAGAACCUUACCUGGCCUUGACAUGCAGAGAACUUUCCAGAGAUGGAUUGGUGCCUUCGGGAACUCUGACACAGGUGCUGCAUGGCCGUCGUCAGCUCGUGUCGUGAGAUGUUGGGUUAAGUCCCGUAACGAGCGCAACCCCUAUCCCUAGUUGCUAGCAGUUCGGCUGAGAACUCUAGGGAGACUGCCGGUGACAAACCGGAGGAAGGUGGGGAUGACGUCAGGUCAUCAUGGCCCUUACGGCCAGGGCUACACACGUGCUACAAUGGUGCGCACAGAGGGCUGCAAACCCGCGAGGGGGAGCCAAUCUCACAAAACGCAUCGUAGUCCGGAUCGCAGUCUGCAACUCGACUGCGUGAAGUCGGAAUCGCUAGUAAUCGUGAAUCAGAAUGUCACGGUGAAUACGUUCCCGGGCCUUGUACACACCGCCCGUCACACCAUGGGAGUGGAUUGCACCAGAAGUGGUUAG